UUAACUGUGCAAUACUUUCAACACUUCCUUGCAUGCCAUUUCAUGUGGCAUAUCUUUUCUGGUCACAAAUUUGUGCAGCGAAUCUAUUUGCAUGAUCGACUCCGGGCCUGUGGGACCGUUCACUUGCACUUGAUGCUGAGUCUUUUACAUGUAUCCAUAAACUGCAGAUAUGCACAUCAGAUCCCUGCGAGCAUUUUCAAAAUUCAGUUAUUUUAGACAACAGGCACAUAUGCAAUAUUGACAUAAUCUCAAAUACCACUAAGCAGCUGGGACACAUUUUUGUUGACCAUACUCGCCGGUAAAACAAGUAGAUCAUGUGGACAGCUCCAGCUCAUUUUCCUUAAAUCAGUGUGUACAAGGGGUAAGCAAAAAUAAUUUUUUUCUCGCGCACCGAUUAUUUUGCUGUAUAAGCAAGAGAACCCCCCACGUUAGUGUAACGUAUCUUGUACAUCACACUAAUAUGUGCUUUAAUUUACCAAGUGAGAUGAGUUACUUUUAUGGCUCAUUCAGUCAAAUCACACUGCAAGCUGCAUUCAUCAAUCUUAAAUUGGAUUUUGCAAAUGUUUAAUGAAACAUGUUUCCCUUUUAUAUAGAUAUGCAAUGGCAAGCCCUUCUGUGUGUUCCAAAGGUAAAAUUUAAGCUCUAAAUGAAAGAAGACAUUUCUAGUCAGAAACAAGCAAAAAUGGUGAAUGCAGAGUAUCAGAAGCCCAAGGUACAGAAAUUAUGAGAAGUGUCGAAUGAUUGUAAGAAAAGAGUCGUAUUUGAAAAUGCAAGACUCUUUAGUGGAGGUCAAGCAAGUCAAUAUAGGUAGAAUACUCUGCAAAAUUAUGCGAGUGAGGGGAUGUCAAACAAUGGGUCACGAAAUGCAUUGUUUUUCUGCAAAACAAAAGCUGAUUGCCAUUACAUAAGUCACUUUAGCAUCAUGAGACUGCUGCUUGAUAAAUUCAGAAAUAAACCAAAAAACAAGACACGCAAAAAUAAAAAUCAAUUUAAUGAUGCCCUCUCCACACUGGGAUAAAUAAAAACAAACACAUCACAUCUAAUGGGGACAUAUCAGACGCCUUGUGAAACACUACAGGAAAAAUUCAGUUUCGAGCUAUGGCACUUGCCACAUAGAUGUGGGGGGCCUUGCACUAAUAGUGAUAGUUACCACUGCCUUUAGAAAUUAAAAGCAUUGAUGCAGACAAGGACGAUUCUUUAUAUUUUUGGCUACCACUUCAAAUGCCUCCACCAAGCGUUACAAUGCUGCACGUAGCCAUACUAAGGAUCUCGCAGCAACACCUGCAGGUAGAAUGCAGAAGCAGUCAAAGUGCUGGUGUGUUCUGGACACUAUGUUUGAAAACUUUUAGGCAAGAAGAGUGCAAGAAGCAGACAUAACAACUGCAUUUAUUUCCAUAAUUCCCCAUUUGAAUGGCCUUUUCUUUUUGCUUAGACAAUGCCUACACCUAGCCACAGCAGCUCCCUCAUACAGACUCCGCAGGCCAAGAGGCCAUGGAGGCAAAUGCAGGCAGCCAGCACACCUCGAACAGCCACCUUGUCUGCGGGUGUGUCACCCUAGUCGCCAAGGAAACAUUUGAGGGAAAGCGACAGGCAAUGUGAACAGCCACUUCUCCAUGUAAACGAUACGCUUUCUCUCAGAUGACUCCUACGCCUCACCUCGCCAGCACACUUGUGCACAAAGAUGCCGCGGAGGCACGUGCAGGUCAGAGGCAAGAAGCAGUGGUACUGGUGUCGACAUUCACCCAAUUUCUUUUUCCUACACUGAGGCAGCCAGCACACCUUGAACAGCCGCCUUGACUGCGGGUGUGUCAGUAGAUUCCUGUUGUACAUAUGCUCAUAAUAAACUUCAGUAAACUUGAA
RNAcentral lists this long non-coding RNA (1860 nucleotides) under Dermacentor andersoni. RNAcentral's name for it is "uncharacterized LOC126544270". Lineage: Eukaryota; Metazoa; Arthropoda; Arachnida; Ixodida; Ixodidae. The record is from RNAcentral.